GUGUACGGCCAUAUCACCCUGAACGUGCCUGAUCUCAUCUGAUCUCGUAAGCUAAGCAGGAUUGGACCUCGUUAGUACUAGCCAAACACAGUGGCUCACACC
RNAcentral lists this ribosomal RNA (102 nucleotides) under Aotus nancymaae (Ma's night monkey). Lineage: Eukaryota; Metazoa; Chordata; Mammalia; Primates; Aotidae. The record is from RNAcentral.